Molecule: ribosomal RNA, 503 nt
Filed under: uncultured bacterium
Lineage: Bacteria
Description: partial 16S ribosomal RNA
Rfam family: Bacterial small subunit ribosomal RNA
Source: RNAcentral
GAUGAACCCUAGCGGCAGGCCUAACACAUGCAAGUCGAGGGGUAGCAGGAUUAAGCUUGCUUAAUUGCUGACGACCGGCGCACGGGUGCGUAACGCGUAUGCAACCUACCUUAUACUGGGGUAUAGCCCGGAGAAAUUCGGAUUAAUCCCCCAUAGUACUAAUGAAUCGCAUGGUUUAUUAGUUAAAGCAUUGCGGCAUAAGAUGGGCAUGCGUCCUAUUAGCUAGAUGGUGAGGUAACGGCUCACCAUGGCUACGAUAGGUAGGGGGCCUGAGGGGGUGGUCCCCCACACUGGUAAUGAGACACGGACCAGACUCCUACGGGAGGCAGCAGUGAGGAAUAUUGGUCAAUGGGCGCAAGCCUAAACCAGCCAUGCCGCGUGCAGGAAGAAUGCCCUAUGGGUUGUAAACUGCUUUUAUUUGGGAAUAAACCUCUUUACGUGUAGAGAGCUGAAGGUACCAAAUGAAUAAGCACCGGCUAACUCCGUGCCAGCCGCCGCCGUAA